This is an RNA transcript of Sander lucioperca (pikeperch), 6337 nucleotides long. It is a transcript of the gene named myosin VB, with no coding region annotated. The record is from RefSeq and is a predicted model, not a curated record. NCBI's taxonomy places the organism in Eukaryota, Metazoa, Chordata, Actinopteri, Perciformes, Percidae. The transcript is spliced from 40 exons.
CAGCCAAUCAGAGUGUCGGAGUGUCUGUCCGGAAGUCCCCUCCAUUCUGCAGCCCAUAUUAGUUGUAAAAUGUUGGCUACUGACGGCUCUUUGGACGUGUUUUACCGUGUUGGAUUAAAGUGUGUAACCACGGGAACGACGCAGGGUAACUACGGGAGGGAACACGUGCAGGUAGCGGGGACCCCCGAGGCUUUCUGACGGCUGAAGCUACACCGAGACACCGACACAAGUGACCGAAACUCCGCCGGGGACACCUGCCCGCUGCCGGGAUACACCUGCCAGCCCGAGCGCUCUACAUACGGGGACAUGCGCACUGACUAACUACCAGCUGACCGGUGUCUCUGCUGCUUUACACGAAGAAAGCUCCCAAUAAAAAGGAUUAUAAUGGAUUUAUAAGGACACCGUUCUGUUGUUUUGGGACCAUGUCUGUGAACGAGCUGUACACAAAGUUCACCCGGGUGUGGAUCCCCGACCCCGAGGAUGUGUGGAAGGCUGCAGAGAUCGUCAAAGAUUAUAAAGAAGGAGAGCCGGUGCUUCACCUCCAACUGGAGGAUGAAACGCCUCUGGAGUACCCUGUGGGUCCGAAGUCGAACCCUCUUCCUUUCCUGCGUAACCCAGACAUUCUGGUGGGAGAAAACGACCUCACUGCUCUCAGUUACCUUCAUGAACCGGCGGUGCUGCACAACCUGAAGGUCCGCUUCCUGGAGCCCAACCACAUCUACACCUACUGCGGGAUUGUGCUGGUGGCCAUCAACCCGUAUGACCAGCUGGAUAUUUAUGGCGAGGAGGUGAUCCGGGCGUACAGCGGGCAGAACAUGGGCGACAUGGACCCGCACAUCUUCGCUGUGGCCGAGGAGGCAUACAAGCAGAUGGCCAGGGACGAGAGGAAUCAGUCGAUCAUCGUGAGUGGAGAAUCCGGCGCAGGAAAGACGGUUUCUGCAAAGUACGCUAUGCGUUUCUUUGCCACGGUGGGCGGCUCGGCUAACGACACUAACGUGGAGGAGAAAGUGCUCGCCUCCAGUCCCAUCAUGGAGGCUAUUGGAAACGCUAAAACCACACGGAACGACAACAGCAGUCGCUUUGGGAAGUACAUUCAGAUCGGCUUCAGCCGACAUUACAACAUCAUCGGAGCCAACAUGAGGACGUACCUGCUGGAGAAGUCUCGCGUCGUUUUCCAGGCUGAAGACGAGAGGAACUAUCACAUCUUCUACCAGCUGUGUGCCUCGGCCAGUUUACCUGAGUUCAAAGACCUCGGCCUCACCAGCGCAGAAGACUUCACGUUCACGUCUCUGGGACAGAACAUCUUCAUCGAGGGAGUGGACGAUGCUGAAGACUUUGAGAAGACCAGAGAGGCCUUCACGCUACUCGGGAUAAAGGACGUGAGUCAGAGCAGCAUCUUUAAAGUGGUGGCCUCCAUUCUCCAUCUGGGAAACAUCGAGAUCUGCUCGGAGCGAGACGGAGAGUCCUGUCACGUCUCGAGAGACGACGUCCACCUGCAGCACUUCUGCCGGCUGCUGGGCGUGGAUCUGCCGCAGAUGGAGCACUGGCUCUGCCACAGGAAGCUGGUGACGGCGUCGGAGACGUACGUGAAGAACAUGUCCAGCCAACAGGCGGCCAACGCCCGCGAUGCGCUCGCCAAACACAUCUACGCUCGCAUGUUUGACUGGAUCGUGGAGCACAUCAACAAUAUGCUGCAGACCUCGUCUAAACAGCACUCCUUCAUCGGAGUCCUCGACAUCUACGGCUUUGAGACGUUCGAGAUCAACAGUUUUGAGCAGUUCUGCAUCAACUACGCCAACGAGAAACUUCAGCAGCAGUUUAACUCUCAUGUGUUUAAGCUGGAGCAGGCGGAGUACAUAAAGGAGCAGAUCCCCUGGACUCUGAUCGAUUUCUACGACAACCAGCCGUGCAUCGACCUGAUCGAGGCUCGUCUCGGCAUCCUGGACCUGCUGGACGAAGAGUGUAAAGUGCCGAAGGGGACGGAUCAGAACUGGGCCCAGAAGCUCUACAAGCAGAACUCGAGCAGCGCUCACUUCCAGAAACCUCGCAUGUCCAACACCUCCUUCAUCAUCAUACACUUCGCUGAUAAGGUGGAGUAUCAGUGUGAAGGCUUCCUGGAGAAGAACAGAGACACCGUGUACGAGGAGCAGAUCAACAUCCUGAAGGCCAGCCAGUUUCAGCUGGUAGCAGAUCUGUUCCAUGAGAAGAGCGACACCGCCCCCCCAGCAAAGUCCUCCAGAGUCAACGUCCGAUCAGCGAAGCCGACUCCCAAAGCUCCAAACAAGGAGCACCGCAAGACCGUGGGACACCAGUUCCGCAGCUCUCUGCAGCUCCUGAUGGAGACUCUGAAUGCAACGACUCCUCACUACGUCCGCUGCAUCAAACCCAACGACAACAAGGAGGCUUUCUCGUUUGACUCGCGGCGAGCGGUGCAGCAGCUGCGAGCCUGCGGCGUCCUGGAGACGAUCCGGAUCAGCGCCGCCGGAUACCCGUCCAGGUGGACGUACCCAGACUUCUUCAACAGGUACCGAGUCCUGGUGAAGAAGUCAGACAUGACGACAGCCGAUAAGAAGCUGGUGUGUAGGAACCUGCUGGAGACGCUCAUCAAGGAGGCGGACAUGUUCCAGUUCGGUAAGACCAAGAUCUUCUUCCGGGCGGGCCAGGUGGCGUACCUGGAGAAGCUGCGGGCGGACCGCUUCCGCUCGGCCUGCAUCCAGAUCCAGAAGACGGUCCGCGGCUGGCUGGCCAGGGUUCGAUACCGCAAGAUCCGAAAAUCUGCCGUCACUCUGCAGAGAUACGGCCGCGGAUUCCUCGCCCGCAGACUGGCUGAGUUCCUGCGUCAGAGCCGCGCGGCGCUCGUCUGUCAGAAGCAGUACCGCAUGGUGAGAGACAGACGGGUCUAUCUGAGGGUGAGACGGGCAGUCGUCACCAUCCAGGCCUUCACCAGAGGGAUGUUCACCCGCAGGAUCUACCGGGAGUUCCUGCUGCACCACAAAGCGAUGAUCAUCCAGCGGAGCGUGCGCGGCUGGCUGCAGCGCAGGAAGUUCAGGCGGGCACGCGACGCCGCCAUCACCAUCCAGUGUGGGUUCAGGCGCGUGCGAGCCAAGCGGGAGCUGAAGCAGCUGAAGAUCGAAGCUCGCUCCGCCGAACAUCUGAAGAAACUCAACAGCGGCAUGGAGAACAAGAUCGUCCAGCUGCAGAGGAAGAUGGACGACCAGUCCCAGGAGUUCCGGGCUCAGAGGGAUCAGCUGGCGGUGGUCAACGCCUCUCUGGGCACGGAGGUGAAGCUGCUGCAGAAACAGCUGGAGCAGGUCCGUCAGCAGGGAGGAGCCAAUCAGAUCGCCUCGCUGCAGGAAGAGCUGGCGAAGCUGGGAGAAGAUCUGCAGGGCGCCACUGCCGACAGGAAGAGACUGGAGGAGGAGCACGGCGCCGAGAAGACGGGGCUGCAACUGAGGGUGGAGGAGUUGGAGAGAGAGAACUCUCUGCUGAAGAGUGAAAAAGAAGAGAUGAACCAGAAGAUCCUGCAGCUCACCAACAUUACGCAAGUAGACGGCGGCGAUGCGUCUCAGCGUGAGGCGUCUCUGCAGACGGAGCUGGACGGAGAGCGCCAGCGCUACCAGAACCUGCUGAAAGAGUUCUCCAGACUGGAGCAGAGAUACGAGAACCUGAAGGAGGAAAUGUUGCUGAGCAAGUUCCAGCCGGGCCACCGGAGGAACCCGUCCAAUCAGAGCAGCCUGGAGUCUGACUCCAACUACACGUCCAUCUCCAUGUCCGAGGUCGGAGACACCGAAGACGCCAUCCAGCAGCUGGAGGAUCUGGGCAUGGAGAAGGCAGCGAUGGACAUCAGUCUGUUCAUGAAGCUGCAGAAGAGAGUGAGAGAGCUGGAGAUGGAGAGGAAGAGGCUGCAGGCCAACGUGGACAAGAUGGAGGAGCUCGCCAAACGCACUGACACACUGCAGAGUUCUGAGCCGAGGAGUCCCACCUCGGAGCAGGAGAACGCUGAUCUGGCCUACAACAACCUCAAGAGGGAGGAGCUGGAGUCAGAGAACAAGAAACUGAAGAACGACCUCAACGAUCUGAGGAAAAGCAUCGCUGAGCGAGCGUCCCGGAGCGAUUCGUCCAACGAGCUGCAGGACAGCUACAACCUGCUGCUGAGUCAGCUGAAAUCAGCCAAUGAGGAGCUGGACGCUCGCAAAGAGGAAGUCCUGAUUCUGAGGACUCAGAUCGUCAGCGCCGCCCAGCUCCAGGAGAACAACCAGCGCAUCCAGGAGGAGAAUAAAGUCCCUGAACUCAACAACAGCAACGAGCCGCUGGACAGAGACGAGGCUCUGAAGGCCUAUCACGGACUCUGUGAGUCCAAAAAGCUGCUGGAGGCCCAGCUGCAGACCCAGCUGCGGCAGCAUAAAGACGAGCUGGACGCCCUCCACACUCAGAUCGAGCUGCAGAGAGACGACAUCGAGAAGAAGACGGAGCUGCUCAACUUCACGGCAUCGCUGUCCCCCGAGGCCCAGGUGGAGUUCAGCAUCGGCCAGGAGAUCACACGCCUCACCAACGACAACCUGGACCUAAAGGAGAUGGUGGAGAAGCUGGAGAAGAACGAGAGGAAGCUGAAGAAGCAGCUGAGGAUCUACAUGAAGAAGGUCCAGGAGUUUGAAGCAUCUCAGGCUGCAGUUGAGUCCAGCAGGUCUCGUCCUGAGUUGACCCGGCAGGUGACGGUCCAGAGGAAGGAGAAGGACUUUGAGGGGAUGCUGGAGUACCACAAGGAGGACGAGGCCCUGCUGAUCAAAACCCUGGUCACAGACGUCCAGCCCAGCAUGGUGUCGGCCACCGUUCCCUGUCUGCCGGCUUAUAUUCUCUUCAUGUGCAUCCGCCACGCCGACUACAUCAACGACGACAGCAAGGUGGAGUCUUUGCUCACCGCCACCAUCAACGCCGUCAAGAAAGUCCUCAAGAAAAACAAUGAAGACUUUGAGAUGACGUCCUUCUGGCUGGCCAACACCAGCCGGCUGCUGCACUGUCUGAAGCAGUACAGUGGAGACGAGGCGUUCAUGACGCAGAACACGAGCAAACAGAACGAACACUGUCUGAAGAACUUCGACCUGGCGGAGUACCGGCAGGUGCUGAGCGACCUCUCCAUCCAGAUCUACCAGCAGCUCAUCAAAGUGGCCGAAGCAACCAUCCAGCCCAUGAUCGUGUCGGCCAUGUUGGAGAGCGAGAGCAUCCCCAGCCUGGCGGGGGUGAAGCCGAUGGGCUACCGACACCGUUCGUCCAGCAUGGACACGGACGCCGGCGGCCCCGCCAGCUACACGCUGCAGGCGCUGAUCCGCCAGCUGGGCCAGUUCCACGCCGUGAUGCAAGAGCACGGCCUGGACCCCGAGAUCACGGGUCAGGUGGUCCGCCAGCUGUUCCACUGCAUCAACGCCGUCACGCUCAACAACCUGCUGCUGCGCAAAGACGUGUGCUCCUGGAGCACCGGCAUGCAGCUACGGUACAACACGAGUCAGAUGGAGGAGUGGCUGCGAGCCAACAACUUGUACCAGAGCAAAGCAGCGGCGACGCUGGAGCCCGUCAUCCAGGCAGCCCAGCUGCUGCAGGUCAAGAAGAAGACAACGCAGGACGCCGAGGCCAUCUGCUCGCUGUGCACAGCGCUCAGCACGCAGCAGAUUGUGAAGAUCCUGAACCUUUACACUCCUCUGAACGAGUUUGAAGAAAGAGUCACCGUGUCCUUCAUCAGAAACAUCCAGAACCGUCCUCAGCAGAGAAGCGAUCCUCAGCAGCUCCUGAUGGACACCAAGCACACGUUCCCGGUCCUGUUCCCGUACACGCCGUCGGCCCUGAGCCUGGAGACGCUGCACAUCCCCGCCUCGCUCUGCCUCGACUUCCUCAACAGAGUCUGAUGUCUCCGAGAGGAACCGCCGGAGACGGAGACGGCGACCACGCACACAGCUGGACAGGAAACUGAGCUUUAAAACAGCAGACGGACACACACUUCUACUACAAACCUGCUUCUUCUGUUACGAACUGUUUCUCCGGAUUGUGACACUAACAGGAAGUGCAGACAGACGUAAGUGAGAGAAGGAACAGGAAAGUGUCCCACAGCAGGAAGAAGGUCAGUGAGAAGUUUCAGAAAGCUCAGGAAGGAUGCAGAGAAAAGAGCCUCCAUAGUUUCAUGAUCCACAAAUCGGAACCAGAUUCACAAAAACCUGCACGAUGAGGUGGGAGGUUUCUGUCCACAAACACCACAGGACUCCGAAACACAUAAACUAACCAAUAAUCCAUUUAAUUUACUUUUGAGCCGCUUGCUGUUCAUAUACAGUGCUAAAUAAUGGUGAAUACA